RNAcentral lists this ribosomal RNA (259 nucleotides) under uncultured bacterium. Its description in RNAcentral is "partial 16S ribosomal RNA". It matches the Rfam family "Bacterial small subunit ribosomal RNA", at positions 524 to 776 of the family's 1533-position model. The record is from RNAcentral.
UACGGAGGGUGCAAGCGUUUGUCCGGAUUUAUUGGGUUUAAAGGGUGCGUAGGUGCCCUGCAAGUCCGUGGUGAAAGCCUGCCGCUUAACGGGCAGAACUGCCAUGGAUACUACAGGGCUUUGAGUCCAGACGAGGUUGGCGGAAUGGAUGGUGUAGCGGUGAAAUGCAUAGAUACCAUCCAGAACCCCCGAUUGCGUAGGCAGCUGACUAGGCUGGUACUGACACUGGAGGCACGAAAAGCGUGGGGGAGCGAACAGG